AGGAUCUCUCGCUCUGCUAGAGCUGCUGUGGCCCUCUCUAAUGUCCUUGCUCUUCUCCAGGUGAGGAAUGCCAUCCAGAGGAUGAAGGACAAGAAGAAAGCACUCUCAUUCACAAACUGCUCUCAUCCCAUCAACUACUUAUCAAGUCCAAGAAACACAACCUCCUGGGAGACAGGGAAACUGAGUCCUUCUGCAGCUGAGAGUGCCUUGUCAAGCCCUGUGCAGAAAGACCCUCCAGUGAAGAACAUCACCAACAAAGGAAAUUUUGGAGCCAAAAUUCCCAUGGGCAUUUCAUCAAUUAUGUCACCUGAGAGACCGGUAUGUAAUGUCUUCUGUUAUUCUUCCACCUUCAUCCAUAUACAGAGCAUAAUAGUU
Molecule: long non-coding RNA, 375 nt
Filed under: Aquila chrysaetos chrysaetos
Lineage: Eukaryota; Metazoa; Chordata; Aves; Accipitriformes; Accipitridae
Description: lncRNA (ENSACCG00020015338.1)
Source: RNAcentral